Molecule: ribosomal RNA, 497 nt
Filed under: uncultured bacterium
Lineage: Bacteria
Description: bacterial SSU rRNA
Rfam family: Bacterial small subunit ribosomal RNA
Source: RNAcentral
CUCAGGAUGAACGCUGGCGGCGUGCUUAACACAUGCAAGUCGAACGGAGUUUUUAUCAAUUGAUUGAUUAAGCUUGCUUUUGAGAGAUUUUGAUAAAACUUAGUGGCGGACGGGUGAGUAACGCGUGGGUAACCUGCCGUAUACAGGGGGGACAACAGUUGGAAACGACUGCUAAUACCGCAUAAGCGCACGGUACCGCAUGGUACAGUGUGAAAAACUCCGGUGGUAUACGAUGGACCCGCGUCUGAUUAGCUAGUUGGUGAGGUAACGGCCCACCAAGGCGACGAUCAGUAGCCGGCCUGAGAGGGUGGACGGCCACAUUGGGACUGAGACACGGCCCAAACUCCUACGGGAGGCAGCAGUGGGGAAUAUUGCACAAUGGGGGAAACCCUGAUGCAGCGACGCCGCGUGAGUGAAGAAGUAUUUCGGUAUGUAAAGCUCUAUCAGCAGGGAAGAAAAUGACGGUACCUGACUAAGAAGCCCCGGCUAACUACGUG